Molecule: ribosomal RNA, 254 nt
Filed under: uncultured bacterium
Lineage: Bacteria
Description: partial 16S ribosomal RNA
Rfam family: Bacterial small subunit ribosomal RNA
Source: RNAcentral
UACGGGGGGAGCAAGCGUUGUUCGGAUUUACUGGGCGUAAAGGGCGCGUAGGCGGCCAGCACAAGUCAGUUGUGAAAUCUCCGAGCUUAACUCGGAAAGGUCAACUGAUACUGUGCGGCUAGAGUGCGGAAGGGGCAACUGGAAUUCUUGGUGUAGCGGUGAAAUGCGUAGAUAUCAGGAGGAACACCGGUGGCGAAGGCGGUUCUCUGGGCAUUACCUGACGCUGAGGAGCGAAAGUGUGGGGAGCGAACAGG